AUACGUAGGGGGCGAGCGUUGUCCGGAAUGAUUGGGCGUAAAGGGCGCGUAGGCGGCCCGGUAAGUCUGGAGUGAAAGUCCUGUUUUUAAGAUGGGAAUUGCUUUGGAUACUGUCGGGCUUGAGUGCAGGAGAGGUAAGUGGAAUUCCCAGUGUAGCGGUGAAAUGCGUAGAGAUUGGGAGGAACACCAGUGGCGAAGGCGAAUUACUGUACUGUAACUGACGCGGAGGCGCUAAAGUGUGGGGAGCAAGCAGGAUUAGAUACCCUGGUAGUCCAUGCCGGAAACGGUGGGCGCUAGGUGUAUGGGUCUUCCACGACUUCUGUGCCGUAGCUAACGCAUUAAGCGCCCCGCCUGGGGAGUACGGCCGCAAGGCUAAAACUCAAAUGAAUUGACGGGG
This 397-nucleotide ribosomal RNA is filed under the name uncultured bacterium. Its description in RNAcentral is "partial 16S ribosomal RNA". It matches the Rfam family "Bacterial small subunit ribosomal RNA", at positions 523 to 918 of the family's 1533-position model. The record is from RNAcentral.